RNAcentral lists this ribosomal RNA (465 nucleotides) under uncultured bacterium. RNAcentral describes it as "partial 16S ribosomal RNA". It matches the Rfam family "Bacterial small subunit ribosomal RNA", at positions 338 to 795 of the family's 1533-position model. The record is from RNAcentral.
CCUACGGGAGGCUGCAGUGGGGAAUAUUGCGCAAUGGGCGAAAGCCUGACGCAGCAACGCCGCGUGAGGGAUGGAGGUCUUCGGAUCGUAAACCUCUGUCAGCAGGGAAGAACGGUCACUGUACUAAUCAGCGGUGAAUUGGCGGUCCCUGCACAGGAAGCAGCGGCUAACUGCGUGCCAGCAGCGGCGGUAAUACGGAGGGUGCGAGCGUUAACCGGAAUUACUGGGCGUAAAGGGCGCGUAGGCGGUAUGUCAAGUCAAGGGUGAAAUCCCCGCGCUCAACGUGGGAACUGCCUUUGAAACUGGCAAACUUGAGUGUGUGAGAGGAUAGUGGAAUUCCAGGUGUAGGAGUGAAAUCCGUAGAUAUCUGGAGGAACAUCAGUGGCGAAGGCGACUAUCUGGCACAUAACUGACGCUGAGGAGCGAAAGCGUGGGUAGCAAACAGGAUUAGAUACCCUUGUAGUC